CUGCUAGAUGUCCCGCCUCUAACCUAAAUAUCGCUUUCUGAUUGGUUGCCGGUUUCAUGCUAACUUACGUGUGAUUGGCUGUCCCCGCUGUCACUCCUUCUGCUUGUAAAAGCUAGCCUACAUGCUAGUUGCUAGCGAAGGGACGAGAGGCGGUGCAACUGUCAGUGUUUUGAAGGAUGUGAAUGAAAAGAAAACUGGAUAUAAGAGACUUCUUUAGGAGUCAAACUCAUGGAGUGCAGCUGGCGCAGGGCAGAAGCACACACCUGAGGUUGAUUAGCCUAUUUAACCUCGGUGCUGACGGCCUGUGAGCGCCGGAACUUUGUGGUCACCGCUGUAGCUAUUCGCAUGCGUCCUAUUUCAUCUCACUAGCAAACUCUUGUUUAUCUCGUGCAUCUCACAGGUUUGCCUGCAAUACCUAGCCUUGUCUAGCGCCUUUAGUUUUACAUUCAGUUUAUCUGUUUCACUUCUUUCAUGAAGUAUUUUUUCCUAGCCUUGUCUAGCGUUUUUAUUUAGUACUUUGCUCCUCUGUUUUACAUUUUCUCAGUUAGUAUUAUUCCUAGCCUUGUCUAGCGCUUUUUGUUUAGUUUUGGUAAUCUAUCAUUGUAGUUUUUUUUUUAAUGGUGUGUUUUUGUGCUUCCACCAUCGCCUUUAGUUUUGGCUACAUCCUCCUUCCGCCAAAAUAAAGGAAGAACAUUUCUCUACUAACCAAAAUGUCUCUGCAUCCUUGGGAUCCACUCUACCAGUCCCUAACAGGCUCUUUGAAGUGAACGACAAGAGCCGGCUCCCGAUCAAAUGUGUUUUUUUUUUGUUUGUUUUUUAAAACCAAUCAGCUGGAUGCUGCUAUUUCUUUUUGUUUUGCACAUUUUAAGUUGUAUUUUGUUGAGUGAUGUUUAUGUAAGGACUGGUGGGUAUCGAGGUGCCGGGUUCGAUUCCCUCGAGGAUGCGUUAACGUGAACACAACAAAGGUAAGAUAUUAAAAGAUUUAUUUAACAAAAAGAGAGCUCUGAACAGAAAUACUGGAGCUAAUAAAAAGGCAAACCAA
Nerophis ophidion (straightnose pipefish) is the source of this 1042-nucleotide long non-coding RNA. RefSeq lists it as uncharacterized. The transcript is spliced from 3 exons. Lineage: Eukaryota; Metazoa; Chordata; Actinopteri; Syngnathiformes; Syngnathidae. The record is from RefSeq and is a predicted model, not a curated record.